RNAcentral lists this transfer RNA (45 nucleotides) under Nargus velox. RNAcentral describes it as "partial tRNA-Leu". Lineage: Eukaryota; Metazoa; Arthropoda; Insecta; Coleoptera; Leiodidae. The record is from RNAcentral.
AAUGAAUUUAAGCUUCAUAUAUAAAGAUUUCCUCUUUUUUUAGAA